AAUCAACGCUGGCGGCGUGCCUAACACAUGCAAGUCGCACGAGAAAGGGGAGCAAUCCCUGAGUAAAGUGGCGCACGGGUGAGUAACACGUGAAUCAUCUACCUCCGAGUGGGGAAUAACUGAGAGAAAUCUUAGCUAAUACCGCAUAACACUUACGAGUCAAAGCAGCAAUGCGCUUGGAGAGGAGUUCGCGGCCGAUUAGUUAGUUGGCGGGGUAAUGGCCCACCAAGACGAUGAUCGGUAUCCGGCCUGAGAGGGCGCACGGACACACUGGAACUGAAACACGGUCCAGACUCCUACGGGAGGCAGCAGUGGGGAAUUUUGCGCAAUGGGGGAAACCCUGACGCAGCAACGCCGCGUGGAGGAUGAAGUAUCUUGGUACGUAAACUCCUUUCGAUUGGGAAGAUAAUGACGGUACCAAUAGAAGAA
Molecule: ribosomal RNA, 429 nt
Filed under: uncultured bacterium
Lineage: Bacteria
Description: bacterial SSU rRNA
Rfam family: Bacterial small subunit ribosomal RNA
Source: RNAcentral